This is a long non-coding RNA of Papaver somniferum (opium poppy), 2456 nucleotides long. RefSeq lists it as uncharacterized. Lineage: Eukaryota; Viridiplantae; Streptophyta; Magnoliopsida; Ranunculales; Papaveraceae. The record is from RefSeq and is a predicted model, not a curated record. The transcript is spliced from 2 exons.
GAAAAAGAAAGAAAUUACAGUGAAAAAAUAUGAAUCAUUUUAAUAGACUUGGAGUUGUUUUCAGGUCUCAGAAGCAUAUUAUCAACCAGGUUAGCUAUAUACUUAUAAUUAACAACAUAAAAUUUCCAAAGUUUCUUCUUCGAAUGUGGACCAAGCCAUUUAUAUCAUCUCGAAGAAGGAAUAAAUCUUUCAAAGUUUCAAACCAAAGCGGUUAUUUGAGAUACUCUUGAACAUAAAUUCUAGAUAUAACAAAUUCAUCGUAUAAUACAGCCUCCACAACGGUGACCCAAUUUAGAACAAAUCAAUGUUUAAGAUUCUACCUCACUGUAUUCAAAUUUUGUUUUCAUCAUAAUUAGAUUUAAAUUUGUCCUAGUUCUUUUAUUAAAUCCUACUAGUAUUGAUUCCCGAAUCUAUUCAGCCUGAGCAUGCCUAUUUCUGCUAUAACAGUUAGCUAGGGAGAAGCUUAAUUUUGUUCCAUUGGAUAGUCAAGAACAAUUCUUCUUAAAUUCAGUAGAAUAUUGGGUACGUGUGUGUGUUGAUUGUUUGCUGCACCACUGUGUGCUUAAUAUUGCUUCGGUCAGCUCCUCCUCUCGAUGUUACUUUGGUACAGUUCUCAUAGUAGUGGUAUGUGAGUGAGUUGGUUUGUGUGCGUAAUGAUGAAACUGAGGAUGAUGCUCUGGGAUUGAAUUUGGUGAUGGUACUGGUAUGCAGAUUAGAGUUCUCUUUGUUGAGUUUGUAUACACUCGGUAUGCACCCUAGUAUUCAGUUUGCAUAUGUGUUCAGUAUGCGACCUAUUUUUCUUCUAUCUUUUAUGCUUCUUGAAUAAUUCAGUUGAAGUUCAACUUCAAUGGUGCUUUUGUACUUUUAUUUUGUAUGUGAAUGAAUAAUCAAAACUGUUAUGGCCUUCCGGAGAAUAAUCAAAGGUUAAUAAUACAGUUGAAGACCAGUCAUGUUGGAAUACAACCUAGAAAUUUUUUUUCAAUAAGUUGCUUUAGCUAUUGUGUGAAUUGAAUGAGACAAGGUAAAGCUGAGAGGGAAGAUUGCAUAAGUGCUAAUAAUGCUGAGAUAGUGGAGAUGGUAAAUGUGAUAAGACUUCUUGUUAAUUGCUUUUCUUAUGCAUGAUAUACGAGUUUUGCUGAAGAUUUCUGGCAUACGUGUGCGAAUUUGGUUCAGAUUCUUAUUUUAACAACUGCUGCUGGUGCUGCUACAGAGAUUUAUUUAGUUUGUAAGCUGCUGCUAGAACUUGUGCACUAUACAAUCUGGUUGUUACAAAGUGUUAAAUCCGUGCUUCCUAGUUCUACUAUCUCUAUAGCUACAACGUUCAGCUGCAGUCAAGUUCUUCAUCUUAAAUUCCUGCUCCAGGUGCUUGGAAAUGCAUACCUACAAGUUUUAUUGCAGAUUUUUGUUGCUGUUAUACUGCGUAUUUGACGCGAACAACUAGUCCAAUGCAGUCAGACUUGGUUUGCAAUUUCACUUCUGUCUACUAAAAUUACUACUGCAACAACUCAUGGUUAUAUUACACUGCAAGUUUUCCGACUCGGCAAGUGUCAUUGUGAUUGCCUAUAUACUGCAGCAUAUUAUAUAUCUCAUUAUGGUUUUUACAACGAGUUCAAGCUAUUCCCUCUUUGUUUUGGUUUGCUAAUGGUACUGGGAAUGAGCUUGUUGUUACUGUUGUUACCACUCUGCACCAAGGUUCUUCAUUCUGAUAUCUAAGAAGUUUCAGUUGCUUUUGGUUGGUGCUGGAAUGUGCCGGAAUGUUCUCCUUAAGAGUUCGAGUUGUCUGAUGGGGUGCUAAUGAUAGUGGACAUGGCUUUGCUUCUUUUUCUGUUUUGCUAGUGGUCGACUACAGCUACAUAGUUGCUUACUACAGCUCUUAAUGGUUUAUUUUCUCAACAUGAAUUCCAUUCAGGUAUGAGUUCAGGUCCUCCGUCUACUACAUGGUUUAUUUUUGUUCUCAAAUCUACUAGAAUCUUCUCCCUGUGCUUACUGCACAUGCAUAUUAAACCUGCAUCAACUUUUCCUUUUGUACAUUGUGCUUCUACAACUACUUGUCCUGUUCUGAACUGCUUCAAGAACUGCCUCCAACUGCAACCACUUCCUACUAGGCUGUCUGCAUUUCUUAUUCACCAUUGUUGCUGCUGUUGUGUUUGUACUUAUGCCAGUGAAGUCUUUUUCUGCAGCAACAUAGUUUUCCUGUUUCUGCACAAGUUGAGAGAGUCUGUAUUCAAUCGCGAGUUGUCUUUCAACCGACAUGCGAUUGAGGGUGGGUAUUGGCAUAAGUUGAGAGAGUCUGUGUAUGUGUGGUGCAAUCAUGUGAGCUGAGAGAUUUGUAAACGAGUGAACAACACGUGAGUGUCUUUAAUAGAAUUGAGUCGAGAGAGGAAGAGCUAUAUAAACUCUUCUCUUGUGUAUGUAAUAAACAUCUUUCUUUAUAUCAAUUCAUUGAUCAAACCGUA